RNAcentral lists this transfer RNA (65 nucleotides) under Byasa polyeuctes. Its description in RNAcentral is "tRNA-Tyr". The record is from RNAcentral. Lineage: Eukaryota; Metazoa; Arthropoda; Insecta; Lepidoptera; Papilionidae.
AAUAAAAUGGCUGAUAAUAGGCGAUAAAUUGUAAAUUUAUUUAUGAGAGAUAUUCUUUUUUAUUA